This 164-nucleotide ribosomal RNA is filed under the name Kordyana sp. RNAcentral's name for it is "partial large subunit ribosomal RNA". It matches the Rfam family "Eukaryotic large subunit ribosomal RNA", at positions 99 to 261 of the family's 3401-position model. The record is from RNAcentral. Lineage: Eukaryota; Fungi; Basidiomycota; Exobasidiomycetes; Exobasidiales; Brachybasidiaceae.
CGGGAAAAGCUCAAAUUUGAAAGCUUGCAGCAAUGCACGCGUUGUAAUCUCGAGAAGUGUUUUCCGCGCUGGACCAUGGAGAAGUUCCUUGGAAUAGGAUGUCAUAGAGGGUGAGAACCCCGUCUUUGCCAUGGACGCCCAGUGCUUUGUGAUACACUUUCGAA